AUUGAACGCUGGCGGCAUGCCUUACACAUGCAAGUCGAACGGCAGCACGGAGCUUGCUCUGGUGGCGAGUGGCGAACGGGUGAGUAAUAUAUCGGAACGUACCCUGGAGUGGGGGAUAACGUAGCGAAAGUUACGCUAAUACCGCAUACGAUCCAAGGAUGAAAGCAGGGGACCUUCGGGCCUUGUGCUCCUGGAGCGGCCGAUAUCUGAUUAGCUAGUUGGUGGGGUGAAGGCCUACCAAGGCAUCGAUCAGUAGCUGGUCUGAGAGGACGACCAGCCACACUGGAACUGAGACACGGUCCAGACUCCUACGGGAGGCAGCAGUGGGGAAUUUUGGACAAUGGGGGCAACCCUGAUCCAGGAAUGCCGCGUGAGUGAAGAAGGCCUUCGGGUUGUAAAGCUCUUUUGUCAGGGAAGAAAAGGGUGCGGCUAAUAUCUGCGCCUCAUGACGGUACCUGAAGAAUAAGCACCGGCUAACUACGUGCCAGCCGCCGCGGUAA
This 500-nucleotide ribosomal RNA is filed under the name uncultured bacterium. RNAcentral's name for it is "partial 16S ribosomal RNA". It matches the Rfam family "Bacterial small subunit ribosomal RNA", at positions 30 to 523 of the family's 1533-position model. The record is from RNAcentral.